RNAcentral lists this ribosomal RNA (253 nucleotides) under uncultured bacterium. Its description in RNAcentral is "partial 16S ribosomal RNA". It matches the Rfam family "Bacterial small subunit ribosomal RNA", at positions 524 to 776 of the family's 1533-position model. The record is from RNAcentral.
UACGGAGGGUGCAAGCGUUAUCCGGAUUCACUGGGUUUAAAGGGUGCGUAGGUGGGCAGGUAAGUCAGUGGUGAAAUCUCCGGGCUUAACCCGGAAACUGCCAUUGAUACUAUCAGUCUUGAAUACCGUGGAGGUAAGCGGAAUAUGUCAUGUAGCGGUGAAAUGCUUAGAUAUGGCAUAGAACACCAAUUGCGAAGGCAGCUUACUACCCGAAUAUUGACACUGAGGCACGAAAGCGUGGGGAUCAAACAGG